GGUUCGAUAGUCUAAUGGAUAUGAUUUCCGCUUUGGGUGCGGAGGGUUCCGGGUUCGAAUCCCGGUCGGACCC
Ordospora colligata OC4 is the source of this 73-nucleotide transfer RNA. It matches the Rfam family "tRNA". From Rfam's summary of the family: Transfer RNA (tRNA) molecules are approximately 80 nucleotides in length. Their secondary structure includes four short double-helical elements and three loops (D, anti-codon, and T loops). Lineage: Eukaryota; Fungi; Microsporidia; Ordosporidae. The record is from Rfam.